GAUUACCUCAGUAACGGCGAGUGAAGCGGUAACAGCUCAAAUUUGAAAUCUGGGUCUUUCAGGCUCCGAGUUGUAAUUUGUAGAAGAUGCUUUGGGUGCGGCCCCGGUCUAAGUUCCUUGGAACAGGACGUCAUAGAGGGUGAGAAUCCCGUAUGUGAUCGGUGGCUUGCGCCCGUGUAAAGCUCUUUCGACGAGUCGGGUUGUUUGGGAAUGCAGCUCUAAAUGGGUGGUAAAUUUCAUCUAAAGCUAAAUAUUGGCCAGAGACCGAUAGCGCACAAGUAGAGUGAUCGAAAGAUGAAAAGGACUUUGGAAAGAGAGUUAAACAGUACGUGAAAUUGUUGAAAGGGAAGCGCUUGCAACCAGACUUGCGCGGGGUUGAUCAUCCGGGGUUCUCCCCGGUGCACUCGGCCUCGCUCAGGCCAGCAUCGGUUUCGGUGGUUGGAUAAAGGCCUUGGGAAUGUGACUUCUUUCGGGGAGUGUUAUAGCCCUCGGUGCAAUGCAGCCUACCGGGACCGAGGACCGCGCUUCGGCUAGGAUGCUGGCGUAAUGGUUGUAAGCGACCCGUCUUGAAACACGGACCAAGGAGUCUAACAUCUAUGCGAGUGUUUGGGUGUCAAACCCAUACGCGUAAUGAAAGUGAACGGAGGUGAGAACCCUUAAGGGUGCAUCAUCGACCGAUCCUGAUGUCUUCGGAUGGAUUUGAGUAAGAGCAUAGCUGUUGGGACCCGAAAGAUGGUGAACUAUGCCUGAAUAGGGUGAAGCCAGAGGAAACUCUGGUGGAGGCUCGCAGCGGUUCUGACGUGCAAAUCGAUCGUCAAAUUUGGGCAUAGGGGCGAAAGACUAAUCGAACCAUCUAGUAGCUUGCU
Molecule: ribosomal RNA, 866 nt
Filed under: Pezicula neosporulosa
Lineage: Eukaryota; Fungi; Ascomycota; Leotiomycetes; Helotiales; Dermateaceae
Description: eukaryotic LSU rRNA
Rfam family: Eukaryotic large subunit ribosomal RNA
Source: RNAcentral